AGAGUUCAAGAGUACGUGAAACCGUUCAGGGGUAAACGGGAGACAUCCUGAAUUCGAAAGGGACUGGAUUCAACUGCAACCGGUCGCCAGGCUGCCUGCCGUGAGAUGGUGCCGGCCGCCCGCGGCGAUUCACUUCGCUUGCGGUGUCGUAACCGGUGCGGACUCUGCGGUAUGCGUGGAAUCUGGAACACGGGGCAGUGCACUUCUUCCCUAGUAGAAACGUCGCGACCCGUUGGGUGCCGGUCUAAGGCCCGGGCAGGAGCCCGUGCGACCCACGGCGGUGUCAAGCCACCGUGAGCUCGCGCGGACGUCUGGUGACCCGGCCGGCUGCCCGACGGUAGGACCAGAGGAGUCGACCCGCUAAUUAUUUGACAAGCGUCCGGCCCUGCUGCGGCGUGCGCGAGCUCUGUCUCGCCGUCGUACGCAGGUGUCCUCGGACUGGGUCGAUACUCCCGUCCGCGGCGCCCACCUUCGGAUCGUCUCCCGCC
This 488-nucleotide ribosomal RNA is filed under the name Ramulus artemis. RNAcentral describes it as "partial large subunit ribosomal RNA". Lineage: Eukaryota; Metazoa; Arthropoda; Insecta; Phasmatodea; Phasmatidae. The record is from RNAcentral.